Molecule: ribosomal RNA, 468 nt
Filed under: uncultured bacterium
Lineage: Bacteria
Description: partial 16S ribosomal RNA
Rfam family: Bacterial small subunit ribosomal RNA
Source: RNAcentral
GACGAACGCUGGCGGCGUGCUUAACACAUGCAAGUCGAACGGAGAGGCCCUGCUUUUGUGGGGUGCUCGAGUGGCGAACGGGUGAGUAACACGUGAGUAACCUGCCCUUGACUUUGGGAUAACUUCAGGAAACUGGGGCUAAUACCGGAUAGGAGCUCCUGCUGCAUGGUGGGGGUUGGAAAGUUUCGGCGGUUGGGGAUGGACUCGCGGCUUAUCAGCUUGUUGGUGGGGUAGUGGCUUACCAAGGCUUUGACGGGUAGCCGGCCUGAGAGGGUGACCGGCCACAUUGGGACUGAGAUACGGCCCAGACUCUUACGGGAGGCAGCAGUGGGGAAUAUUGCACAAUGGGCGGAAGCCUGAUGCAGCAACGCCGCGUGCGGGAUGACGGCCUUCGGGUUGUAAACCGCUUUCGCCUGUGACGAAGCGUGAGUGACGGUAAUGGGUAAAGAAGCACCGGCUAACUACGUG